CUGGUCUCAAAUGACUUUAAGGACGAAUUUUUUUUACUAUAWAAUGUAUGUAGAAUGACCUGCUAAGAGUGGUAACAACAACAAAAUCAAGCUCAGAACCUUAAACAUUAAGCCUCUCCCCAGGAAAAAAACAUCUGGGAAAAAUUCAGUUAUCAUUCAUUAUCUGAGGUAGUUGUUGGGGUCACAAAGAUUUUAAGAGGACCUGAAAGUAUUUGGAAAGAAUUGCUCUAAGAUAUUGAAGGGAAAGAUGCCACAGAAUCUUAAUAUACAAGUAUCUGGGAAAAAGUGAGUAAGCAAAAAACCUCAGGUUUCAUUUGUUCAGGCUAAAAGAAGAAACUGUGAAGGAAAAUAGACCAACAGUGGAUUGUGGUUUGAUACUGAGAAGGUGUUUGUCAAGUAGAGAUUUAAACCUAGUGGAUUUGCUAAUUCCACUAAAUAUAAAGGCGUGCCUUUAAAUACAUCAUCUGUGGUUAGAAGGUUUCAAAAGCAGAGGGAUUGAGCUACAGAAAAGUUCACAAACWAGAUUAUGGCUGCGCACCUUUUGCCCCCAACUGCCAUCUGCAUUUUCACUGGACCCAACCCUGUAAGCAAAUCAUCAAGCAGUGGAGGCUUGAGGUCUGGCUGCUCAAAGAAACUGCUAUCAUUUUACGAGGAAACAUGGCCUCGCUUGCACCAAAAUCUUUCCUUCCUGCAUUCCUCCUACCACAGCUGGCUGACAUCCUGCACAGAGCAGGCUGCUGAGCAGAGACAAAAUACACAACAUCUGCUGCCUUGCAUCUCUCAGCUUUUUCCACAGCAGCAAGCAUUAUGCAGUUCCCAGAGUGAAUUACUUGAUGGGAAGAAAAGAGGCAUCCUUUGGGGAUUCUGUGAUAAAACUGCUUCAAACAAAUGAACAAAAACUAUGACAGAAAUUCUACUAUCCAUCUGACUGUAGAUUUUUGCAUUACAAAGUUCUUGCGGUCCCAUCUCCACAUCACGCUGCAAAUCCACUGCAGUGACAGGCUGUGUCCAUCCGGCCUUCCAGUUGGACUGCUGAUCAGAUCAAUCUGUGACUAUUUGUCCAGUUCCAGAAAAGCCAUUUUUUGUUUUCAGUUGGUACAUCUCACUGUCACUCACUAUCCACUCUCUUCAAGCUGUCACAACUGCUUUUGGCCAAGCCUAAGCCUGAGAAGAAGGGACCAAAUACUGGCUGAGUCACUUCUGUUGCGUGCCAGCGAGUCGCUUGUUCACUGAUUGGCCACCUGCUUUUGAUCUACGUUAUAUCAUACCAGGGAGCUGCUCCAGCUGGCCAGGGACUGGGGAAUGCGGGCUGUAGUCAAGGAUACCUGCAAAGCACUGGGAACUGCAGCGAAGAGGCUUUGGAGAGAGAUGCAGAGAAAGGCAAAUCAGAGGGAAGACGAGGGAAAAAUAGAGGCAAGGAGCCAAUUUCUGAUCUCAGCAUCACUGAUGUCACCAGUCAGAAUCUGGUCCUCAGAGUGCUGAGGAAAGGAGAAUAGAAGCAGGUCAGAGGAGAAGGCGACAGACAAGCCGAGGUGACAGAGAGGAGAUAAUUAAUCAUGUCUCAGCUGUAAUCUUAAUGACUACUCUGCUUUAACACUUUUAAUGCCUCUUUCUUAGCCAAGAGCGCAAAAUUAAUAAAACGUUUCCAAGAGGGGAUGGGCA
Molecule: long non-coding RNA, 1662 nt
Organism: Apteryx owenii (little spotted kiwi)
Lineage: Eukaryota; Metazoa; Chordata; Aves; Apterygiformes; Apterygidae
Source: Ensembl